Molecule: long non-coding RNA, 3660 nt
Filed under: Mytilus galloprovincialis (Mediterranean mussel)
Lineage: Eukaryota; Metazoa; Mollusca; Bivalvia; Mytilida; Mytilidae
Source: RNAcentral
CAAUAUUCUUUUCGUAUUUAAGUAGAAUAUUCGUAUUUCCCAUAAAAAUAUGUUUUCCUUGAGGAUCCCAAAAUAAAUUACUGUAUGAUCAGUUUAGAACUGACUGUAUUCUAGAAGCGAUUUCAGAUUUUUUGACUGUAUGACCAGUCGUGAUUUUGAAAAAAAACAACGGCAAUUUGAAGUACAUGACUAUGUGAAUUUAUGAACUGUCCAGGUAACUAUAAAGUGUAUUUUUUUCAUCAGACAAAACAAAUAUAUUUCUGAUAAUUUUUGUAGACGGCAAAAUAAUUGUAUUUUUGUUCCGUCAGUCUUAUUCAAAAUCAAAUGCCUAAAAAGCAAUACAUGAUUCGCUUUUUGUAAUAGUGUAUCGUUGCAGUUAUCUGUUUAGCUAUUACAUUUUUAAAGACUAUUUUCACCGUCCGCCGUUGACCAAUUGAUGAUAACAUACAUCAAGCUUGUCUCUUUUAAAAUUACAAAAAAUGGAUAAAGAAAGCUUUGCGAAGGGGGAUAAUUCAUGUGAUAUAAUUUGGGCAAGUUUACAGAAAUCAUUACCUGUAUCAAUAUCGAAUGAAUUUAAAAUGAAACGGAUUUUAUCAGUUUACUUAAAGCGAUUUCUGGGUUAAUCCAUAUAUGUCAUUGUACUGAUUGCAUUUAUUGAUUGCGUGGCAACUUGUGGAAAUGAUAAUAAUUUGUUAUGUACUUUCACCCUUUAUACCAGGAUUUUCCACAGAAAAAAUCGGUUGGUAGGUUGAGGUUGGUGCAACCAUUAAAACGUUUUUGUAUAACAAUAUUAAUUAAAUCUGUGUGUAUUUGUACAAUUUUAAGUAUAACGGAGGACAUUUCUGAAACUCAUAUAUACAACAAACCUACCUUUUAUUUUAGCAACAUUUAAACAUCCUUAUACUUAAUAUAGUAAGUCAAGUACACCCUAUCAAGCAAAACAUGUUUCAUAAGUUUUCAGGAUGUGAAUUUAUUGAAAUCUAUUUGUGUUAUUUAGAAAAAUGCCACCUUAUAAUGUAUCAUAAAUAACUUUGAAAUCACCACUAGAAUACAGUGAAAUAAGGACUGAUCAUACAUUCACAAAAUAUACAAGCGAGACUGAUCGUACAGUGAGAAAUUCAAACAAGUGUAAUUUUCUUAUUUCUGUCUUCAAAGAUCUGGUUGAAACUUUUACCACUACUUGAAAUAUACUUAAUUUAGUUAAUUAAAUCGGGUGUUUACGGUAAUUUGUACACUAAGAAGGUAAAAAGAUUGUUUUUAGGUCCACCGACUGAUUUUCCUUAGUGAUGCACUUGAAAAUCUCUUGAUUAAGGCAAGGCUACUAAUAAUGAAUGCGCUGAAUUUAAUUCUAAACCAUUUGAGAAUAUUGAUGUCGGCUGAAUUAAUCAUUAAGCAAUGUACAGAUGAUCAAUUUACCGUUUAAUUCAGUAUAUCCAUCAAAUUUAAAAUGUGAUCCAAAAAGUUCUCGCUUCGAAAAUCGCGACUUCCGGAUAGCGUACAGAAUAGUAUCUACACUGUGAGUUAUAGCUGUUAUUUUUAAUCAAAUGUAAAUAAUAUUAAAUCCAUACUUAUGGUAGCGUGAGAGUAUUCUAUUAAUGAUCUUUGUAAAUUUUUACUAAGAAAAAUAAGAAAAUUUUAAUGUGGAGAUGCUAUCAAAUCUUAUAUCAAUUUAAUUAUAGUGGUUAUCCAAAACUUUAAUAUAUAAGGGGAGAUAAUUUUAUAAAGUCUCAAGAAAAGUUUAGCAAACCUAAUUUUUGCAUUUAAUAUUUGUUAGUUUUUAGUAAGUGAUAUCUUAUUUAGUUUUCCUUCUUGUCACUUUGAAGUGAGUAUCAAUCUUUUAUCCAGAGUCUUUGUGUAUCCUUAUAAAAUGCCAAAAUUACAGACAGACAUGAAAUAAGCUAUAUUUUAGCAGAGAAAAUUUGAAAUUCUAUUAUUUCUUGUAAAUACUUCUAUUCUACCUUAACAAUCAAAUCAAAAAUCAAAUACCAAUUCUAGUCUGCUUAGAUUUCACAUUUAUUGUGCUUUCUUUUGUUGCUUACAUGAUAUUACAGGGUAACAAUAGGCAAUUCUUUCUCUCUUCAAUGAGAAUUUUCAUGCACAGUAGUAAAUAUGUUAUAUUUAUGCAUCAGCUUUGUAUUACUCCAUAAUUAUGUUUAUAUCCAGGAAUUUUUAUUCAGAGAAAUUAAGCCCUUAGAAUUUUGCAUAUUUGCACAUAGUUAAGGGCAUAAAUGCAAUAGCCAGGUCAGAUAAUAUUGUAUUAAAAUUCAAUGUGUUGCUUUAGCAACAAUGAACAGCUUGUUCCAUUAUUAUAAGAAAAUGUUGUUGAUGUUAUUCCUCAUCACAGACAGGAGUAUUCAGCAUUUAAGAGCAAAGUUUUUAUUUGAAAUUUUUAUAAAAUUAAUGAAAUAAAAAUCUUUCUGUUUGCCAAAAUCCAGAACCAAAGAAAAAAAUAAUGCAGUAUUUAAGAUUGCAUAUCAAAAUUGAUUUGAGUAUCAAAAGUCCAGUAAAAAGUCUAUGUAAAUCCAGAUUGUUUCAUGUUGCCUUAAGGAUGUACACCUCUGAGGAGCCAAAAAUUUCUAGAAUUAAACUUUUUUUCUUAACCUGAUUUUGGGGUUUAUAAGACUGUAACAAAAUAAUUGGUAAAGAAAAAAUCAUAUGGUGGUGAACUUCGUUUUUUGCUACAGCCCUUUGAAAAUGCCCAAUUUUGAUGAUUUUCCCAUUUUUCAUCGAUUUUUACCUAUUUUGGGGCUAUUAUCACAAAAAAAAAAUCACAGUUCCACAAUUCAACUUUUUCUCUUACUUUCUAUAAAGAUGAAGCGGACCAAUCUGAAUAAAUUUUACUUAAAAAAACUAUAGGUAGGUGUUAAUAUAAGAAAGUUUUAUCAUAUUUUGACGCUUUUUUGUGUAAAAUUUACCAUGCUGUCAAUUUUCUAUUUUUGUGAUUUUUCUCAGUUUUAAGAACAUAAUGCAUAUUAUUUCAACUUUUUUGUUAUAAAUGAUUGAAAAAAUACACAUCUAAGAAAUUUGAAAAGACCAAAAUGAUAUGGGAUGUACAUGAUUCUUGUAAAAUCAUUUUUUGUAUCCAUCACCCAUUUUCUCAAAACAUUGGCUAAAAAUACUGACUUGAUUGGUCGUAAAAUUUGAAAACUGGAUUACUCAAAAAAAGUUCGUUGUAAAUACACAAUUUUUUCACAGAGUUAUGUUUGAUUAUACAAUUUUUAAAAUUCAUUAAUAUUUUUCACUUGUAUCACAUGAUUUGAAAAUAAUUAAGAACAAGAUUUCAAAGAGACUGAACGAGACUGAAAAGUCAGAAGAAUACAUCCUUAAUGCAAUUUCUUUAUUUUCCUCAUUUCAUUUAUCACAUCAUUACUCACAUUCAUUUUGAAAACUUCUGAUGAUAGUCUAAGUGGAAAAACUAUACAUGGCUUAUUUACCCACACGAUUCAUGUGAGGCACAUUUCUUGUGAAAUUUUCAGCUGGGAGAGAAGUUAUUUACAGUUUAUUAAAUGUCACAAAAGUAUUUUUACUGUACAUAUAUUAUAACAAUGAUUUAAUGCAAUGAAGGAACAAAUUGUGUGAUAUUGUUAAUUGUUUGGUCUCAGUCAUUUGUUUUAUGUAGAUUUGUUAAAUAUAAGUUUGUAUGAGAGUAGCUACAUGGAG